This 464-nucleotide ribosomal RNA is filed under the name uncultured bacterium. RNAcentral describes it as "bacterial SSU rRNA". It matches the Rfam family "Bacterial small subunit ribosomal RNA", at positions 330 to 792 of the family's 1533-position model. The record is from RNAcentral.
UCCAGACUCCUACGGGAGGCAGCAGUGCGGAAUAUUGGUCCAUGGCCGAGAUCCUGCACCAGCCACGUCGCGUGAGGGACGACUGUCCUAUGGAUUGUCCACCUCUUUUGUCCUGGAGCAAAGUCCCCCACGUGUUUUUUUUGGAGAGUCCCUUCCGAAAAAGCCUCUUCUAACUCCUUUCCCUCAGCCGCUUUCCUCCGGAGGAUGCGCCCGUUAUCCGGAUUUAUUGGGUUUAAAGGGUGCGUAGGCGGGGUAUCAAGUCAGAGGUAAAAUCGGGGAGCUCAACUCCAUCCAGCCGUUGAAACUGAUGAUCUUGAGUGGGCUAGAAGGAUGCGGAAUGCGUGGUGUAGCGGUGAAAUGCAUAGAGAGAAAGCAGAACCCCGAUGGCGAAGGCAGCGUACCGGCGCCCGACUGACGCUGAAGCACGAAAGCGUGUGGAGCGAACAGGAUUAGAUACCCCAGUA